Molecule: unclassified non-coding RNA, 2406 nt
Filed under: Hevea brasiliensis (rubber tree)
Lineage: Eukaryota; Viridiplantae; Streptophyta; Magnoliopsida; Malpighiales; Euphorbiaceae
Source: RNAcentral
GAGAGAAGUGCCUAAAGUCAAACCAAUAUUAACAAUUGAAGACUUGAGAAUUGGGUUCAGUUGAUCAAUUCUCACUUCUGACUGGAUGUACUGCCAAAAUGGAUAGAGGAGGACAAGUAUAGAAGGUAGCACAUAAUCAUUAAAGCAUCAAUGAAAGGAACUGCUUUGUUGUUCCAAUAUAUUUGAUGCCAAAGGAUUACACAAAAAAAAGGGGCUACAGAUAAGUUCCUAACAAACCAAUGACAAGAAAAGAAUUAUCAAUUAUGUUACGCUUAGCAUCACACAUAAUUGACGAAAGAGGUACUAGGCUUUUACAGAAGAAGAACGAUGGCCUGCAUACAUUUCGGUAAGCAACGCAGAAUAGUCUGUUCAGAGGAAGGUUUGUAAUUUGAGAAAAAUUCUGGAUCCUGUUCAAGGGACUCUGAAUAUCUGUCCAAAAUUUCAACUAUCUCAUCAAAAUGUGGUCUUUUAUCUGGAUAGCUUGACCAGCAUCUAUUGAUGAGAUGACUAAAUGCCAACGGACAUGCAGGGGGCAAUGGUGGUCGUGCAUUCUGGAGAAAACUCAGAAGAUAUCAGAUAUUAGAACUUAAUGGUCUCUGGCAAAAAAAAAAAAUAAAACUCUUUUCAGGUGAAACAAGAAACCACCACAAAGUGUGUCAGACCAUAAGGUGCGCAAUGUGAAAAUGACAAGUCAUUUUCUAAUCAUCUAUUUAUUAUGAGCAAGAAGUAAUAUGAUCAAUUCUUUCAUUGUAUGGAUGUGUCACUUGCACGCUCAUGGACACUGCCACAAGGAUGGGUAGAUAAUCACGCAUUAAUGUCUGAACGACUACACAAUGAAUGCUUUCAAAUGGGAAGUGCAGAUUAUUAACAUUUAGACUUUAUAUUUUCUUCAGUUUUCAAGGAGAUAUAUUGCACAGAUGAGAAUGACCAAGACAGUGGGGUCACACGUGAUGGCCACAACACAGAGAUGGACACAUGAGUGAUUUGUGCUCAUAUUGCUCAAGCAUUUCAGGAAGAUACAGUUCAGUAAUCAUGGCAGAAGUUGCGAUCAUUGAUAAAGAUUUGUUUGUGGUUAUAUCAAAUAAUUGUUACCAGCAUGGGUAUGUGUUCUCUACUGCUGGAUUGCUUAAUCUUCCUUCAGGUAAACAGCAUUCGAAUAGAACACACCUCUGAUACAAAAACAUUACAAAACUGUAAUAUUACUCUCUCUAUACAAAACUGUACAGCUAUUUCCUGUCAUAUAAACUAUCAAUACCAUGACAAGGAUAGGAGGAUACUUAUCUCUGAUUACCUCUCACACAAUUAUUUUCCACAAUGUAUGCCGAUUAUCAGCCUAAUCCACACACAUGAUCAUGUUAGCAUAAAUUUCAGCAACAAUGCUUUGACCAUGCCAGGUCUAUCAUCAUCAUAAAAACCUAGAAUCUUUAUGCACUAUCAACUGCAUAAACCAUGGUAUGUACCUGUAUGAUACUGAAUGCAUUUGCCAGACCAAAUUAAUAUGCCCCACCAAAGAUCUCACUGGUAAUAGAAAUCAUUGGCAUUGCACAGGCAGUAUCACUAGAACUCUUGUUUUCUUAUUAAAACCUGCCUAAAAUUACUGCUAACCUCUAUAUAAAUAUACCAACAUGGAGAACCUUAUUAAUAUCCUAAAGAAAAAAAUAAAUUUAACAAAAAAAUCUCGAAAAAUAAACAUCACGUAUACACACAUUAGACCAUCAGAGUUAAAUCCCACAUGUUGUCAUCAUCUGUCUUCUUCUAUGAUCAGCUGAAAGUAUUCUUGGACUUUCAUUUCACCAUUUUUUUUGGUUUGCAUAAUUAACUAGAUUAAGAUACAACUAAUAGAUAUAGCUGCUCCUAGUAGUCCUCAAAACUAUUUCAAACUCAACAAGGUUAGAACAUUCUCUUAGGAAUUAAAAGGGAAAAAGAAUUAUGCAGGGUUUGAAUAAAAAUAUAUACCCCAAAGUCUUCAGACAUACUUAGAAGUUCAUUAAAAUAUUUAUGUUAGUUGGCCAUAUAAUCUCUUUCUAUGAAAUUUCAAUUGGUUAAAAUUUGGAAAUUCUUCUCAAGAUAAAUUGUUCAAAAUCAGUACUUUAUGACCAUUUCAUCAUGCAAAAUCUCCUUUAGUCCAUGGCAAACUCAUUAUUACACCAAACAUCAAUUUUCCAGCAGACUAGAUUUGUUCCUUUCAAUUCCAAUUUUUCUUAAAUUUUUCCCCUAUAGGUUAAUUAUUCAUGUAACUAAUAAAAUGCAAUGCAAUGGAGGUUUCAUUGAACAACCAAAAAGGAGAUAUUGCAAAUCCUACUGAUUUGCAUGCAUAAAUGGACUAAAGGUGCAAUGCACAAAAUCGCGCGAUAACUAUUUAAAAUUGGAAAAAGUCAUACCAGAGACACUAAUCGCAUGAAUUUA